Molecule: ribosomal RNA, 301 nt
Filed under: uncultured bacterium
Lineage: Bacteria
Description: partial 16S ribosomal RNA
Rfam family: Bacterial small subunit ribosomal RNA
Source: RNAcentral
CAGUAGCCGCGGGAAUACGUAGGGUGCAAGCGUUGUCCGGAAUUAUUGGGCGUAAAGAGCUCGUAGGCGGUCUGUCGCGUCGGCUGUGAAACCCGGAGGCUCAACCUCCGGCCUGCAGUCGAUACGGGCAGACUAGAGUUCGGUAGGGGAGACUGGAAUUCCUGGUGUAGCGGUGAAAUGCGCAGAUAUCAGGAGGAACACCGGUGGCGAAGGCGGGUCUCUGGGCCGAUACUGACGCUGAGGAGCGAAAGCGUAGGGAGCAAACAGGAUUAGAUACCCCAGUAGUCCCUGUCUCUUAUAA